GCUGGAGGCUCUACUGGGAUUCAUCACACAAAACCACCACAAAGCUACCACGAGUUAGCAGCUAGCUUCAAAUGGCGGGGCCUUCCUACAGUCAUCACGACGCUGUGACUAUCAGAAGACACUUUAAGGUCUCGAGUGAAGGCAGCCCUUCCAUUGUCAUCUGAACAACCACUCCAUGACUUUGUGAUCAUAAAGAAUC
Long non-coding RNA from Thalassophryne amazonica, 199 nucleotides. RefSeq lists it as uncharacterized. Lineage: Eukaryota; Metazoa; Chordata; Actinopteri; Batrachoidiformes; Batrachoididae. The transcript has 2 exons. The record is from RefSeq and is a predicted model, not a curated record.